AACGAACGCUGGCGGCAUGCCUAACACAUGCAAGUCGAACGAGACCUUCGGGUCUAGUGGCGCACGGGUGCGUAACGCGUGGGAACCUGCCCUUAGGUUCGGAAUAACUCCCCGAAAGGGGUGCUAAUACCGGAUAAUGUCUUCGGACCAAAGAUUUAUCGCCUUUGGAUGGGCCCGCGUUGGAUUAGCUAGUUGGUAGGGUAAAAGCCUACCAAGGCGACGAUCCAUAGCUAGUCUGAGAGGAUGAUCAGCCACACUGGGACUGAGACACGGCCCAGACCCCUACGGGAGGCAGCAGUGGGGAAUAAUGGACAAUGGGCGAAAGCCCGGACCAGCCAUGGCGGGGGAGUGAUUAAAGCCUUAGGGUUGUAAAGCUCUUUUACCCGGGAUGAUAAUGACAGUACCGGGAGAAUAAGCUCCGGCUAACUCCGUG
This 433-nucleotide ribosomal RNA is filed under the name uncultured bacterium. Its description in RNAcentral is "partial 16S ribosomal RNA". It matches the Rfam family "Bacterial small subunit ribosomal RNA", at positions 29 to 507 of the family's 1533-position model. The record is from RNAcentral.